UCUCCCCUUCAGCAACAGAAUGGCUAUCCUUUGGUGAAUUAAUUGAUUGUUUGCAGACAUGUUUUCCGAAGCUCUAUGGGUUAGUGACCCGUCAGGAGACGGGGUGGGGUAUGGGUGGCAGUGGUUCUGUGGGGACUGCGUUCUCCCUGUCAACUAUGGGAACUCUGACAGUUUGGGUGCGAGGCAACCGCGUUUCCUCCCUGUGUACUGUAGCUCUUGGUGUUUGGAGUGGGAGUCGGGGUGAGGGAACGGCGUGUGCUGGUGUACAUGGCUUUCUUUAUGUACCUAUACUUACCCUUUCCUGUGUAUGAUUUCUUAAGGCUUUGAUGGCCUCUGGAGGGACAUCCUAGGUCACCUCGGGAAACUUAGCUAAACUAGAGGUGGGAAAGCAGAAGAGCUUUCUCUUCCUCGGGCCUUCACCCACCCCCUUACCCAGCGACUGGAAAGACUUUGAUUCUCCCCUCCCCCAUCUUUUCCUCCCCAGGCUCUUCUUUUGUUGUCAAGUUCCUUUGAUAAAUGGUUGUGCUGUAGAGCUGAGAGAGAAGAGGGAAGAAGGUCGGUGGAGAAAAGCCGAGGAAAAUAACAUACAAAAAGAGAAGAAUGGGGUGCGCUGAUUCACACAUUCAUUUGGAAGGAAUUCGGAAGAGGGUCCUCAAGUCUAGGACACCUAGCAAAAAAGGCCGAAGUGGGUUCCAGCACUUCCUUCAAGCACCGGCACAAACCCGACCUGCUCGUUUGUCAACUUUCUCAGCCCCUAAUCCAAACAUGCUUGAAAGCCCCUGGCCCCAAGACUUGGUACUCGUUCACUCUUCUUUCUCUCCAGACCCGGGUAGAGAGAGACCUAUUCCCAGCCGGCAGUCGAGCUCAGGACGCGGGGCUCGGAAUUUCUCAGUCGACAGAGCAGAGCAGAGGAAAGCUGAGCAGAGCGCACCCACUCAGCCUUAG
Molecule: long non-coding RNA, 945 nt
Filed under: Phascolarctos cinereus (koala)
Lineage: Eukaryota; Metazoa; Chordata; Mammalia; Diprotodontia; Phascolarctidae
Description: lncRNA (ENSPCIG00000007161.2)
Source: RNAcentral